AUGCCUACGGGGCGCAGCAGUGAGGGAUAUUGGUCAAUGGGGGGAACCCUGAACCAGCAACGCCGCGUGAGGGAAGACGGUUUUCGGAUUGUAAACCUCUGUCCUCUGUGAAGAUAAUGACGGUAGCAGAGGAGGAAGCUCCGGCUAACUACGUGCCAGCAGCCGCGGUAAUACGUAGGGAGCGAGCGUUGUCCGGAUUUACUGGGUGUAAAGGGCGUGUAGCCGGGUUGACAAGUCAGAUGUGAAAUCCUGCGGCUUAACCGCAGAACUGCAUUUGAAACUGUUGAUCUUGAGUACUGGAGAGG
This 305-nucleotide ribosomal RNA is filed under the name uncultured bacterium. Its description in RNAcentral is "bacterial SSU rRNA". It matches the Rfam family "Bacterial small subunit ribosomal RNA", at positions 335 to 657 of the family's 1533-position model. The record is from RNAcentral.